Molecule: long non-coding RNA, 2084 nt
Filed under: Ananas comosus (pineapple)
Lineage: Eukaryota; Viridiplantae; Streptophyta; Magnoliopsida; Poales; Bromeliaceae
Description: long non-coding RNA (ACOM_LNC003716)
Source: RNAcentral
UCUUCAAUUCAAGAUCGGAGUUAUUGAUCUUUAUCUAUAUAGUGAAUAGAAUUUUCUAUCAAAAGUUCAACAAAUUCCGAUUCUUUUAUACCGUUAAACUAGCACGUAUCCCAUACCGGCCGUUAAAAAUUGUCAAAUUUGUGAUCUCUUGAUCGUAAGGUAAAUGAUGUCGAAAAAUUAUAAAAUUUAAUUUCUAGAAGUUUUAAAUGCUGUAAAUAAUGUUUAACGGUGUGGAUCGUCGAUUCAGAAGCUCUAUCAUCGAAAACAACUUAUGAGUACGAGGGCGAUCGUACUCAUAAUAGUAUAGUAGUCGGACCCUAUAUAUAUAUAUGGAGUUGAGCUAGAAUACUAUCGAUAGCAAACGGGCUCCGUUGCCACCCAUUUGUUUUCAAUGAUGGAGCCUCCAAAUCGACGAUCGGCACCAUUGAACAUGAUCUAUACCACUUGAAGUGUUUAGAAAUCAAAUUUCAUACAUUUUUUAUAUUGUUCUCUUAUCUAUCGAGUGGACACAAAAAUGAACGGCUGAAAACGAAUAUUCUUUAAAAAAUGAUGAUAGGAGUCUUGUAAUCAAGAUCAAGAGUAUAGAUCUUGUUUUAAAUAGUUUAAAAAAAUUUUCUCACAAAAAUUCAAUUGAUUUGGAUAUCUUUACGCCGUUAAAUGAGAAAACGCCUCAUAUAUGUUUGUAUAUACCCUACAAUUAUAAGCAAUUAUGAAAUAGCUUACUCAAUUUUUUUUUUAUGUAUGAAGAGGUCCUUCACUAUAGGCCAUUUAUUAUCUAUAUUUAUCUAUACAUUAUCUAUAUAUUAUUUUUCAUAAAGUUUGCCACGCGGUAAUUCCUCUUUUACCUUAUUUCCCACUCCUUGAUAUUUCGCCUUCCCACCCCACCUCUAGUCGAUACCUUAUCUUUCCACUAGCCUACUUUCUAAUUAAUGUAUCCACAUAAUCUAUUUUUAUGUAAACAAAUCAUUUUAACAAAAAAAGAGUAAAUUAAGUUCUCUUCAUAUUAUUUUUUAUUAUAUAUUUUUUUGCUUUUUUUUGGUGCACAAGAAGGAUUCAUCUUUUAUUUUUUUUAAAAUUUUUUCUCUAUUUUUUUAAAAUUGUAUGGGUAUUGAAAUUAGAGUUCCAAGGAUCAUGGUGGCGUGGCGAGGUGAUGUGGUGAUGGAUUUAGAGUCGAUGAAAGGGAAAAAGCGGUGGGUGUGGGAGAAUCCGUACGACAUCGACUUGGCCGUGAUCAAGGAAAAGCUCGAUGCCGAUGCGAUGGAGGCGACAUGGAGAACAAUAAUCGAAGUAGUAAGUCUACAUUAUUUUCCAUAAAGUUUGUCAUGUGGUAAUUCCUCCUUCACCUCCCUUCCCACUUCUUGAUGUUUCGUCUUUCCAUCCUUGUCUCUAGCCGGUGCUUCGUCUUUCCACCCGCCUACUUUCUAAUUAAUAUAUUCAUGAGAUCUAUUUUUAUCUAAACAAAUCAUUUUAACAAAAAAGAGUAAAAUAAGAUUUCCUCGUACUCUUUCUUAUCAUAUAUUUUUUGCUUUUUUGGUGCACUAGAAGUGUUUAUUUUUUGUGUUUUUCUUAAUUUUUUUCUUAAUUUUUUAAAAUUAUGCAGGUAUUGAAAUUAGAGUUUCGAGGAUCGCACCGGCGCGGCGAGGUGAAGAAGCAGUGGGUGUGGGGGAUCCGUACGACAUCGACACGGCGGUGACUAAGGAGAAUCUUGACGCAGACAAUCACGAUGGAGGCGAUGUGGAAAACAGUAAUCGGAGUUGUAACUCUAUUACUGUUUUCUUUUAUUAUUGUUAUGUGUAAUUUAUUUGUUAUUAUAGGUUUUGCUAUAUUUGUACAUAUUUAUUUUGAUAUUUUUCUAUUUGUAUUUAUUGAUGUCUCAUUACAAGUCAAAAAGUUUUAAAAUUUUAACUUUAUUAAACUUUUAUCUUCUACGGUGCAAUGCGCGGGUAAGUAACUUCACUAGUUUCGAAAUAGGCCCCUCACUUUUUUUUUUUAUUGAGAUCCUCAAAUUUUGUCAUUUUUUAAAUUUAAAUUUUAUAUUACUUAUAUUAAAAAUUUAUCAACUUUAAUAAAUUUAUAUAAUUAUU